RNAcentral lists this ribosomal RNA (764 nucleotides) under uncultured bacterium. Its description in RNAcentral is "bacterial SSU rRNA". It matches the Rfam family "Bacterial small subunit ribosomal RNA", at positions 8 to 743 of the family's 1533-position model. The record is from RNAcentral.
AGAGUUUGAUCAUGGCUCAGAACGAACGCUGGCGGCGUGGCUAAGACAUGCAAGUCGCGGGGUGAAAAUGAUCCAUAGCAAUAUGGUGAAACACGACCGGCGAAAGGGUGAGUAAUGGAUGGGUAACGUGCCCUGGACACGGGGAUAGCCGUCCGAAAGGACGAUUAAUACCCGAUGACAUCAGCGGUCCACAUGGACGGCUGAUCAAAAGUUGGGGACCGCAAGGCCUGGCGGUCCGGGAUCGGCCCAUCUCCUAUCAGCUAGUUGGUGAGGUAAUGGCUCACCAAGGCUUCGACGGGUAGCGGGACUGAGAGGUUGGCCCGCCACAUUGGCACUGAGACACUGGCCAGACUCCUACGGGAGGCUGCAGUAACGGAUCUUCCGCAAUGGGCGCAAGCCUGACGGAGCGACGCCGCGUGCAGGAGGAAGCCCUUCGGGGUGUAAACUGCUGUCAGGGGUAUGCAAGCAAACCGGGUGAAUAGCCCGGCGAGUUGAGCUAUCCCAGAGGAAGCCACGGCUAACUCUGUGCCAGCAGCCGCGGUAAUACAGAGGUGGCAAGCGUUGUUCGGAAUCACUGGGCUUAAAGGGCGCGCAGGUGGUCGGAAGGGUGUCUUGUGAAAUCCCUCGGCUCAACCGAGGAACUGCGGGGCAAACCGUCCGACUUGAGGCAGAUAGGGGCUGAUGGAACUCUGGGUGGAGCGGUGAAAUGCGUAGAUAUCCAGGGGAACGCCAAUAGCGAAAGCAGUCAGCUGGGUCUGUCCUGA